Molecule: non-coding RNA, 47 nt
Organism: Cathartes aura (turkey vulture)
Lineage: Eukaryota; Metazoa; Chordata; Aves; Accipitriformes; Cathartidae
Source: Rfam
GACAAGGCUUUGUUUGAAGCCAUACAAAAUGCACAUCAAAGAUAUGU